Molecule: ribosomal RNA, 346 nt
Filed under: uncultured eukaryote
Lineage: Eukaryota
Description: SSU rRNA
Rfam family: Eukaryotic small subunit ribosomal RNA
Source: RNAcentral
AUAGCGUAUAUUAAAGUUGUUGCAGUUAAAAAGCUCGUAGUUGAACUUCAGACCUGGCUGGAUGGUCUGCCUAACGGUAUGUACUGUCUGGCUGGGCCUUACCUCUUGGUGAGCCGGCAUGCCCUUCACUGGGUGUGUUGGGGAACCAGGACCUUUACCUUGAGAAAAUUAGAGUGUUCAAAGCAGGCUUACGCCGGAAUACAUUAGCAUGGAAUAAUAAAAUAGGACGUGCGGUUCUAUUUUGUUGGUUUCUAGAGUCGCCGUAAUGAUUAAUAGGGAUAGUUGGGGGCAUUUGUAUUCCAUUGCUAGAGGUGAAAUUCUUGGAUUUAUGGAAGACUAACUUCUG